Molecule: non-coding RNA, 862 nt
Organism: Pimephales promelas (fathead minnow)
Lineage: Eukaryota; Metazoa; Chordata; Actinopteri; Cypriniformes; Leuciscidae
Source: RefSeq, a predicted model, not a curated record
UCACUGAACUCAUUAUUAGAGAUGUGUCAUGAUGACCUUUAGACCUUUUAAAUGAUGACCUUUUAAAAUGUAAUUGCAGAACAUGGCCACCCUGUGGCAGAAUUGUACCCUAUUAUGUAUCCAAGCUCCUCCUAAAUGAGUCAACUGUGCAAAGUGACAUAUAAACUCAGGCUGGCUCAUAUUUUUACAAAAACGGCUUCUACAGGGCCAUAAUGUAAGAUACAAGGUGUCUUGCUCAUGUGUAAAACACUCCAGCAGUGGGUGGAGCCGAUUCACACUGACAGAGAUGCUGAUAGGAGGAAUUAAACAACAAUUUUGGCAUCAUUGAUCGUCUCUCUGAGGACAACAUGUUUUAUUUUACUUGGAUAAUAAUCCAACUUUACAUUGAAACUUCUUUGGCUGAUACAAUACAGCCAUUUACUUCAGAAAAACAUGUUGUUGGGGGCAGAAGCGUGACUCUCUCCUGUAACUACAGUACAACUGGUGUCACUGUUAACUCUCUCCAGUGGUAUCACCACCAGUAUCUCAGAGCAAAACCAGAGUUUUUACUUCUUGUCACUGAAUAUUCAAGCAAAUCUGAGCCUGAUCUUCGUCUCUAUUCAAAAGCUACAAAAGAGAUCAAACGUGUGGAUCUAGAGAUCUCCUCUGCUGAAGUGUCAGACUCUGCUGUGUAUUACUGUGCUGUGGUGCCCACAGUCACAGGAAACACUCGACACACCAUACAAAAACCUGAUUCAGUGUUGGAUCUACAGUACAUUACACAUUCAUUACAUGGAAGAUGCUACUCUGUCUUUGUGACAUUAUGUAAAGCAACAGUGUGACAGUGAUAAACUGAUUUUUAGAUGUGCUUUCUUUUCUCCAG